AGCCUGAUGCAGCGACGCCGCGUGGGGGAUGACGGUCUUCGGAUUGUAAACCCCUUUCAGUAGGGACGAAGCGCAAGUGACGGUACCUGCAGAAGAAGCACCGGCUAACUACGUGCCAGCAGCCGCGGUAAUACGUAGGGUGCGAGCGUUGUCCGGAAUUACUGGGCGUAAAGAGCUCGUAGGCGGUUUGUCACGUCGUCUGUGAAAUCCCUCGGCUUAACCGGGGGCGUGCAGGCGAUACGGGCAGACUUGAGUACUACAGGGGAGACUGGAAUUCCUGGUGUAGCGGUGAAAUGCGCAGAUAUCAGGAGGAACACCGGUGGCGAAGGCGGGUCUCUGGGUAGUAACUGACGCUGAGGAGCGAAAGCAUGGGUAGCGAACAGGAUUAGAUACCCUGGUAGUCCAUGCCGUAAACGGUGGGCGCUAGGUGUGGGGUCCUUCCACGGACUCCGUGCCGUAGCUAACGCAUUAAGCGCCCCGCCUGG
Molecule: ribosomal RNA, 485 nt
Filed under: Dietzia maris
Lineage: Bacteria; Bacillati; Actinomycetota; Actinomycetes; Mycobacteriales; Dietziaceae
Also listed under: 1 other name
Description: bacterial SSU rRNA
Rfam family: Bacterial small subunit ribosomal RNA
Source: RNAcentral